RNAcentral lists this transfer RNA (75 nucleotides) under Streptomyces luteogriseus. RNAcentral's name for it is "tRNA-Arg". Lineage: Bacteria; Bacillati; Actinomycetota; Actinomycetes; Kitasatosporales; Streptomycetaceae. The record is from RNAcentral.
GUACGCAGGUCAGCAGUGGGGUGUCACUCGUUGCGCCUUCUAAGCGCUUGGCCGCAGGUUCGAGUCCUGCCGGGG